This 338-nucleotide ribosomal RNA is filed under the name Mabui calculus. RNAcentral's name for it is "partial small subunit ribosomal RNA". The record is from RNAcentral. Lineage: Eukaryota; Metazoa; Arthropoda; Malacostraca; Decapoda; Xanthidae.
AUUAAUAGGUAUUUUCUUUAAAUUCAAAGAAUUUGGCGGUGAUUUAGUCUUGUUAGAGGAACCUGUUUCUGAAUCGAUAAACCACGCAAAAUCUUGCUCCUUUUUGUAUUCAGUUUAUAUACCGUCAUUAUCAGAUAAUUUUUAAAGAAUUGAAUUAUUAUAAUCUAGAUGAUGAAGCGUUAGAUUAAAUUAGAUCAAGGUGUAACUAAUAGAGGAGCUGAAAUGGGUUACAAUAAAAUUUAUUUAUUACGGAAUAGUCGCAGAGAAGAUGUGUUAAUAAGGAGGAUUUAAUUGUAAUAGGAGUUUAGCAAGCUCUAGAGAUAUAAGCUCUAAAUCAU